Andrographis paniculata is the source of this 948-nucleotide long non-coding RNA. RefSeq lists it as uncharacterized. The transcript is spliced from 3 exons. The record is from RefSeq and is a predicted model, not a curated record. NCBI's taxonomy places the organism in Eukaryota, Viridiplantae, Streptophyta, Magnoliopsida, Lamiales, Acanthaceae.
GCAAGUUAUUAUAAAUGUUCUUUAUGUUUAGCUCUAGUAAGUCAUUUGGUCUCUUUGUAAAAUCAAUAGCAUUUUCUUUAUAACCUUAUCAGAGUAGAUUUCAUGCAUCAUGGAUGCUAUCGAACCAUUACGAUACGGUGGUUGUGGAGACACGAUGACCGUUGAGGAUAUUGCUUCCUUGAAGCUUAAUUCCUCUAGAAACUAUCGUGUGAUUUUGUUGUUCCAUAUACGCAGAAUAACACUGACUGCGACGGCAACAUUCCACACACUCACACGCACACUCAUAUGCUUCGUUGGAUUCUCCCUGCGCGGAGGGAAGCAAAGCGAUGUGUGCGAAUUGCGGAGCCAACUCGACCUUUUGGGAUUGAAGAUUGGUAAUCCAAGUUACCUCCUGUGGGAAUUGCCUUUUCAGGGCAUUGGCGGAUCAACUGGAAGAAGACGAAGACGAGCAUGAGAAUUAUUCGAGCAUGGUGGUCUUAAGGACAAUCAAACAAUGUUUGAGCCCUUUGUUGAAGAUGAAGUUCCUUUCGAGAAAUAUUAUAAAUCCAAAAUGGAAACGGCUUAUAACUGCAAGCACAGAAGCAAUUGGUAUGGGCAAUUAUGAAAAGCACAACAAAUGUGUAGAUCCGUGCAAUAAGUGUAAGUUUUUGCUAGCAUAAAUGGAUGCUAUCAAACCUUUACGACAAUGUGGUGGUGGAGACUAACUACCUUUUUAAUGUGCCAUGUAAAAGUAUGCCGUUGCUGGAAUUCAACCUUGUAGCUCCGUCCACUUACCGAUGCCUCAUGGCAGAGUAUAGUUAUGUCAGGCACACCCCCUUUAACACGGCUCGCCUUAUAGAAAAUUUUUCUAUUAAGAUUUGAGCUCUAAGAUGAUGUUAAAUGAGUAGAGCAUUGUACUUUUGUAAUUAAAAGAACUUUAUAUUUUUUUAGAGUUUAUGUAAGUUUUUA